ACUCAAAGGAAUUGACGGGGGCCCGCACAAGCGGUGGAGCAUGUGGCUUAAUUCGAUGCAACGCGAAGAACCUUACCUGGCCUUGACAUGUACGUAGUAGAAGCCAGAAACGGUGACGAGGUAGCAAUACCAGCGUACACAGGUGCUGCAUGGCUGUCGUCAGCUCGUGCCGUGAGGUGUUCGGUUAAGUCCGGUAACGAGCGCAACCCCUGUGUUUAGUUGCAACCGCCGAUGUGAAUCGGUGGGCACUCUAAACAGACUGCCCUGUGAAACGGGGAGGAAGGUGGGGAUGACGUCAAGUCAGUAUGGCCCUUACGGCCAGGGCUGCACACGUGCUACAAUGCCCAGUACAGAGGGACGCAAGACCGCGAGGUGGAGCAAAUCCCCCAAAACUGGGCUCAGUUCAGAUUGAAGGCUGCAACUCGCCUUCAUGAAGCUGGAAUCGCUAGUAAUGGCGCAUCAGCUACGGCGCCGUGAAUACGUUCCCGGGCCUUGCACACACCGCCCGU
RNAcentral lists this ribosomal RNA (509 nucleotides) under uncultured bacterium. Its description in RNAcentral is "partial 16S ribosomal RNA". It matches the Rfam family "Bacterial small subunit ribosomal RNA", at positions 899 to 1397 of the family's 1533-position model. The record is from RNAcentral.